GGCAGUCUGUUGGGCUUUCCUUCCAGUUUGUGGAAGUUUGUUGUUUUGCUGUUUGCGAUAAAUCCUGCUGAUGCUCUUUCUGUGGGUCUAUACUACCUUUAUGAGCUGUUAUACUAACUGCGAAGGUCUGUGGCUUCACUUCUGAAGCCAGCAAGACCACGAAUCCAACGGGAGGAAUGAACAACUCCAGAUAAGAACUGUAGUAACACUCGCCGUGAGGGUCCGCAGCUUCAUUGUUGAAGUCAGCUACACCAAGAACCCACUGGAAGGAACCAAUUCUGGACACAGGGGGACUUCGUGCACGCAGCACUCCAUGAGACCAUGAGCUUUCUCACCGGGCAGGAGGAGCCCAUCCCCAGCUACACGUCUGGGCCCAGCGCUCUCGGAGCUGCUUUGGAGAAACAUGCUUGGCGUUGUCUAUGCCAAUGGCCAGGCUCCUGGGACUCUACAGGUUUCUCCAGGUACGAAGAGAUGUCUUCUGUGCCCAGAGGAGCAGUACUCAAGCCGCACCAGAGAUGGCUGCCUGCCCAGGACAGAGACCUUCCUGGCCUUUGACGACCCCCUGGGACUCAUGCUCGCCUUGGUGGCGCUCAUGCUGGCCAGCCUGGCAGUGCUGGUCCUCAGACUGUUCUGAAGCACCGAGACACACCUGUGGUCGGGGCCAACAACAGAGCUCUCAGCUGCACGCCGCUCACCUCCCUGACCCUCUGUGCCCUCUGUCCCUUGCCUUGCCUUGGUUGUCCCACAGCUGCCACCUGCCGCCUCUACCAGACCACAGUUGCUGUUGUGUUCACCAUGGCUGUCUCUUCCGUCCUGGCCUUCAGGGUCACCAGGUGACAGGGUCUGGGUGUGCCUGGGACCUGGCGCUUCCACCUCGGUGGUCCUUGCUGCUUCCUUGGUGCAGGUUGUUCUCUGUGGCAUCUGGCUGGGCACUUCCCCACCAUUCCCAGAUGGGGACAUGGCCUCAGAGCCCAGCCACAUUGUCAUCCAGUGCUGAGAGGGCUCUGCUGUCGCUUUCUCCUGUGUGCUGGGCUACCUGGGCCUCCUGGCUGGGGGCACCUUCUUUGUAGCCUUCCUGGCCAGGGGUCUGCCAGACGCCUUCAACAAGUCCAAGUUCCUCACCUUCAGCGUGCUGCUGUUCUGCAGCUUCUGGACAACCUUCCUGCCCCUGUACCACAGCGCACAGGGCAAGUCCACUGUGGCCGUGGAGAUCUUUUCCAUCCUGGCUUCCAUGGCAGGGCUGCUGGGUGGCAUCUUUGCCCCAAAUGUUACAUCAUCCUGCUAAAGCCCGAGCGGAAUGCCCCAGACUGGGUGAGGCGAGGACACUGGGAUCGGUGGGAAACGUGGAGCCAGGAGCUCCUCAGACCUGCGCCAUAAACCCACGAGCCAGGCCUUGUUGAAGAUAUCAGGGCCCCUGAUUUGAGCUCUGGGCUUCUGUGUGGAUUAAAAGAUAGUUAAAGGAUGGGCGUGGUGGCUCACGCCUGUAAUCCUACCACUUUGGGAGGCUGAGAUGGGCAGAUCACUUGAGGUCAGGAGUUCAAGACCAGCCUGGCCAACAUGGUGAAACCCUGUCUGUACUCAAAAUACAAAAAUUAACCAGGUGUCGUGGUGUGCACCUAUAAUCCCAGCUACUUGGGAGGCUGAGGCAGGAGAAUCACUUGAACCUGGGUGGCAGAGGUUGCAGUGAGCCAAGAUCAUGCCAUUGCACUCCAGCCUGGGUGACAGAGCAAGACUCCAUCUCAAAAAAAAAAAAAAAAAAAAAAAAAAAGAAUAAAAGAUAAAAUUCAACAAUAAGAAAACAAG
Homo sapiens (human) is the source of this 1803-nucleotide RNA transcript. It is a transcript of the gene named vomeronasal 2 receptor 19, pseudogene, with no coding region annotated. Lineage: Eukaryota; Metazoa; Chordata; Mammalia; Primates; Hominidae. The transcript has 2 exons. The record is from RefSeq and is marked validated.